GCCUACUGCCUCGCCCUGCAGAGGAAGGUGGAGGCCUGGUGGGCGCGGCCCCCUGGAGGAGGCAGCCCCGGCCAAGGCACCCCCCAGGAUGGAGAGGUGGGACGGCGGCUGGACCAGGAGGGGUGCCCCUGAGCCAGCCGCUGCACCCGGGAUGCUGAAGUUGGAGGAACCAGGCAGCUGGGCCUUUCCUCUCUGGCUCUCCCGGCGACACCUGGGGCGCCAAACCCCCCAACCGGAGAAGCGGCACCCGCUGUCGGGGCUAGGCGCUUCCAGUAUUUGGCGCUGCGACCGAUCCCA
Molecule: non-coding RNA, 297 nt
Organism: Pseudonaja textilis
Lineage: Eukaryota; Metazoa; Chordata; Lepidosauria; Squamata; Elapidae
Source: RefSeq, a predicted model, not a curated record